Molecule: ribosomal RNA, 418 nt
Filed under: Spodoptera ochrea
Lineage: Eukaryota; Metazoa; Arthropoda; Insecta; Lepidoptera; Noctuidae
Description: partial 16S ribosomal RNA
Source: RNAcentral
GGGCUGCAGUAUAUUGACUGUACAAAGGUAGCAUAAUCAUUAGUCAUUUAAUUGAUGACUUGUAUGAAAGAUUGGAUGAAAUAUAGACUGUCUCUUAAUUAAAUUAUAGAAUUUAAUUUUUUAAUUAAAAAGUUAAAAUAAAUUAAAAAGACGAGAAGACCCUAUAGAGUUUUAUGUUUAAAUUAGUUGAGAUUAUUUAUAUAAUUAUUAAUUAAAAUUAUUUUAAAUAUUUUGUUGGGGUGACAAAAAAAUAUAAAUAACUUUUUUUAUUAUUUAACAUAUAUAAGUGAAUGUAUGAUCCAAUAUUAUUGAUUAUAAGAAAAAAUUACCUUAGGGAUAACAGCGUAAUUUUUUUUUUUAGUUCAAAUAAGAAAAAGAGUUUGCGACCUCGAUGUUGGAUUAAGAUAAAAUUUAAAUG